UAUAUUAGUUAAGGACUUUAAACCCAAAGAAUUUGGCGGUAUCUUAUUCCAUUCAGAGGAACCUAUCCCGUGAUUGAUAGUACACGAUUAACUAUACUUAAUUUAUUUGUUUGUAUAUCUCCGUUAUCAGAAGAUCUUUUUAGGGCUAUAAUUUUCUUGAUUUAUAAUUAUAAAUUAUUUCAGGUCAAGGUGCAGCUUAUAGUUAAGUGGUGGUGGGUUACAAUAAUUUUUUUUUAUAACGAAUUUAAAAUUUAAAUGUUUUAAUGAAGGUGGAUUUGAUAGUAAUUUGAUUUAUUUAAUUUAAUUGAUAUUGGCUCUAAGAUGUGU
RNAcentral lists this ribosomal RNA (327 nucleotides) under Eucephalacris borellii. RNAcentral describes it as "partial 12S ribosomal RNA". Lineage: Eukaryota; Metazoa; Arthropoda; Insecta; Orthoptera; Acrididae. The record is from RNAcentral.